GAAGAUUGCUACAUAUCAAGACAGUGUCAAGCUUUACAAGGAAAAAUUUGAAAAAGCAAAAUUAGCUCUGACUAAGGAUGAGGCUGAACUUCCAAAAUAAGAAAGCAAACUUAAAAUAUUGUGCAACAGCUAAAAGGGAGUGUAAGUGGAGGAGGGAGUGUUCUUCAUACUUAAAAUUCUUCAUUUAGUUGGAGAUGAUCUCUUGAUGUCUAAUGCAAAACGCAUUGAGAAAGCAGUACUAGGGUAUGUGUGUAAUGCUCUUCUUCUUAAGGGAUUAGUGAGGGAAUUCCAGUGCAGCUUGCUCAUGAUGGCUUGAAAGUCCUGGCAAACUUAUAAGGUUGUGUUUGCUGAAGAAGAUAGAAUGGGAGUGGGUAGAAAAUGUGGUGAAAUCUUUAGAUUGGUUAAUCGAAAGUCACUUUGGAAUACUUCCAACCUUUAAAAGCAUACAUAUGCGAGUGAGGGAUGCAUUUGUGCAGAGGAAAUCGAGGACAAGAUUAGGUGUUUAAACUUUUGUUUUUUUUUUUCAAAUGAAAUUUGGCAAAGCCAUAUAAAAUAUGUACUUUAGUUUGGAGAUUCUUGGAUUGUUCAAAACCAGUGGAGUUUCUUUGGCAUCUCUUUGCUUGCACUAACAAUGUUGUUAAUUGUGAUGUUUGUCUGUUUUUGGUAUUAUAUCUUCACCUUCACCUU
Molecule: long non-coding RNA, 687 nt
Organism: Arachis duranensis
Lineage: Eukaryota; Viridiplantae; Streptophyta; Magnoliopsida; Fabales; Fabaceae
Exons: 6
Source: RefSeq, a predicted model, not a curated record